This 483-nucleotide ribosomal RNA is filed under the name uncultured bacterium. RNAcentral describes it as "partial 16S ribosomal RNA". It matches the Rfam family "Bacterial small subunit ribosomal RNA", at positions 28 to 523 of the family's 1533-position model. The record is from RNAcentral.
GACGAACGCUGGCAGCGUGCUUAACACAUGCAAGUCGAACGAUGAAAGUGGAGCUUGCUCCGCUGGAUUAGUGGCGAACGGGUGAGUAACACGUGGGCAACCUGCCCCAGACUCUGGGAUAACUCCUCGAAAGAGGUGCUAAUACCGGAUACGAACUCCUUGGGCAUCCUUGGAGUUGGAAAGUUUUUCGGUCUGGGAUGGGCCCGCGGCCUAUCAGCUUGUUGGUGGGGUAGUGGCCCACCAAGGCGACGACGGGUAGCCGGCCUGAGAGGGCGACCGGCCACACUGGGACUGAGACACGGCCCAGACUCCUACGGGAGGCAGCAGUGGGGAAUAUUGCGCAAUGGGCGAAAGCCUGACGCAGCGACGCCGCGUGAGGGAUGACGGCCUUCGGGUUGUAAACCUCUUUCAGCAGGGAAGAAGCGAAAGUGACGGUACCUGCAGAAGAAGCACCGGCUAACUGCGUGCCAGCCGCCGCCGUAA